RNAcentral lists this long non-coding RNA (335 nucleotides) under Apteryx owenii (little spotted kiwi). RNAcentral describes it as "lncRNA (ENSAOWG00000013450.1)". Lineage: Eukaryota; Metazoa; Chordata; Aves; Apterygiformes; Apterygidae. The record is from RNAcentral.
GUUGCUACUGUAAUUGGAGCAGUAUCUAGCUUCAUUGCUUACCAGAAGAAGAAACUCUGUUUCAAACAAAGUGCAGAUCAAGAGAAUGUGAAUAUGGAAAGCCAUCGUGGAGCACAAUCUGAGCCACCCGUACAGCGCACGCUUCUGGAGAACUAAAUCAAGGAAAACGUGAUGAAGAAGAGACCAUUAAAACUGGAUAGAGAGCCUGCUUUCUGCCUGAAAAAAAAAGAAAACCAAAAAGUAUAAUGUAAACAACAGAGUCUGAAGAUGAAUGAGAAAAUAGUCCUUGUUUGAAGCAUCUUUGGGAGUGUGACUUAAAAGACCUGAGUACUUCU